Molecule: ribosomal RNA, 440 nt
Filed under: uncultured bacterium
Lineage: Bacteria
Description: partial 16S ribosomal RNA
Rfam family: Bacterial small subunit ribosomal RNA
Source: RNAcentral
CCUACGGGAGGCAGCAGUAGGGAAUAUUGCUCAAUGGGGGAAACCCUGAAGCAGCAACGCCGCGUGGAGGAUGAAGGUUUUCGGAUUGUAAACUCCUUUUGUUAGAGAAGAUAAUGACGGUAUCUAACGAAUAAGCACCGGCUAACUCCGUGCCAGCAGCCGCGGUAAUACGGAGGGUGCAAGCGUUACUCGGAAUCACUGGGCGUAAAGAGCGCGUAGGCGGGAUAGCAAGUCAGAUGUGAAAUCCUAUGGCUUAACCAUAGAACUGCAUUUGAAACUGUUAUUCUAGAGUAUGGGAGAGGUAGGUGGAAUUCUUGGUGUAGGGGUAAAAUGCGUAGAGAUCAAGAGGAAUACUCAUUGCGAAGGCGACCUGCUAGAACAUAACUGACGUUGAUGCGCGAAAGCGUGGGGAGCAAACAGGAUUAGAUACCCCGGUAGUC